This 66-nucleotide transfer RNA is filed under the name Pseudocarcinus gigas. Its description in RNAcentral is "tRNA-Met". Lineage: Eukaryota; Metazoa; Arthropoda; Malacostraca; Decapoda; Eriphiidae. The record is from RNAcentral.
UAAAAGAUAAGCUAAUAAAAGCUAAUGGGCUCAUACCCCGUAAAUGAGAAUUUAUCUCUCUUUUAA